AUACGGAGGGUGCAAGCGUUACUCGGAAUCACGGGGCGUAAAGCGCGCGCAGGCGGCUAUUUAAGUUGGAUGUGAAAGCCUACGGCUCAACCGUAGAACUGCAUCCAAAACUAUUUAGCUAGAGUGUGGGAGAGGAAGAUGGAAUUAGUUGUGUAGGGGUAAAAUCCGUAGAGAUAACUAGGAAUACCAAAAGCGAAGGCAAUCUUCUGGAACACUACUGACGCUGAGGCGCGAAAGCGUGGGGAGCAAACAGGAUUAGAAACCCUAGUAGUCC
This 274-nucleotide ribosomal RNA is filed under the name uncultured bacterium. RNAcentral's name for it is "partial 16S ribosomal RNA". It matches the Rfam family "Bacterial small subunit ribosomal RNA", at positions 523 to 796 of the family's 1533-position model. The record is from RNAcentral.